UUUUAUGGGAAAGUUAUGCUUUGGGCUUCCCAUCCCAAAAUAAUAACAUUUUCGAAACCCAACUUUGCACAAAAAAAAAUACCUACACUGAUGAUAAAAAAAUUAGGGUUUUCAUGCACUCUGCUAUAAGGUGUUUUUUCAUUCCGAAAUUGCCCUCUUUCUUCAGCCACUUCAGCGUCCACAUCAGAAGGCCUACAAAACCAAAAAAAUUCACUGUCUCACUCACUCGGUCACCCAACCUUCUUUUCCAAUGGAUCAAGUUCAGUUUCUUCUGGUAGGGUUACCUCUGUUUCUCUUCUUCUCAGACAUCAUAAAUCUCUUCACACCAUUGCCUCCAAAGCCACCGCCGCAUCAUCACCAUCAUCAUCAUCACCACCACCAACCCCAACCCAAACCCCAAUCGGCUCCUCUAGAUUUCCCCCACAUAGAAAGAGAGUGGUGAUGGAGGUAUUGGCUACGGCAACACCGUCAAUAUUAAUUUUUGUUCCUCUUGUUCCUACAGGUUUUGUAUUAUUUCUUUUAAUUUUUUUUUAUUAUUUGUUUGCUCGUAUUAAAUUCAAUUGUAGAUAUCUAUUUCAUCUUUGGAUGUUAUGUGAAAAUUAUACUUCUCUGUUUUCUUGGAUGAAUCUAAUUGUUGAGAUGGGUUUGUAAAUUAAGAUUUGAUGGUUCAUUCUAAUUAGGGUUUUGUCGAAAUGGAUGCGGUUUUGGUUGUGUUAAAUUUAUGUGUUGGAAUUGUAAAAAGGAAGAACUUGUUUGUGGAGAAACAUGUUGGGAAUAAAUUCAAUUAUUUAUAAUAUAGAAUAAGUUCGUUGCUUCUUUCAGUAGUUGAAAUGAUGUUAGAAUCAUUUUAAGUGUACCAAAAAAAAUUGUAGAUCUUAAAUGCUAUCACUAAGGUUGUGGUGCUUAAAAAUAUCCUAUAUUUCUACUGGGAAAUCAGAAAAUUUGUGGGCCUAUUGAGAAAGAAUUUUCAGUGUACGGUAGAAAAUUUGUAGGACUGGACCUUUCUCGUCAUAUAUUGAUAAAUUAAGGGAAAGUUGUGUUUCGGGAGGCCCAUUUCAAGGUAAUAUUGUUUUCAAAACCCAAGUUUGCAUAACCCAAGAUAUGUCCACUAUUUGAAGAAAAUUUUUCCUUUUCAUGCACUCUGGUCUUAGGUGUUAUUUCAUACCGAAAAUGGGCCUUACCCUUGGGCCAGCUCAACGUCCACAUCAGGAACCUAAAAAGCCCAAACUCCAUGUCAGCAGCCAAGACGUAAUUUAGUAAAGAUUCAUAUGUGAACUGGAAAAAAAAAUGAAAGCUGAAAGACGAUCACAAAAAAGACCCGAACCCGGCUGAGCUUUCAUUGAUUUUCAAGGGCAUGAGGUAUGUGGGUCAUCGUGAAUCAUGUUUUUCUUCAGUGGGUAUGGAUUAUUUUCGAAGUGUUUUAUGAUCUUCUUGCUCUUAUCAUGGGUUACUUUGGAAACUUGAAUGAUAAUGGUGUUGAUUUACAAUAUUUCCGAAAUUGUCGAAUGAUAGUUUGAUUGCAUUCUUGUGGGGUUUUUCUAUUUGUUUAUUUUUUCUUUUAUUAAUUGUGUUGCAAUUUGUGGUUUUGAUGCUGCCAAUUUUUUCUUCUUGUGGUAGGAUCCCAAUUCGCAACAUUUAGGAACUACGGUUUGGGAUGCAUCAAUGGUAUUUUGUGAAAUUUCUGCCAGAUGAUCUGCUUUCAUCAAAGAUCCAAGGUAUGUGUCUAACCAUCAGUGGUAAUGUUUGUUGUACAGAAGCUCAAUUUGACACAUUGCGGACACAAGUCCAACAAAUGUCGCCGGGACUGUCCACAUUGGCUCAGGAUGGACUAACACCAAGGUGAGUAGCAGCGGGCAUUCGACCGAUCCUGUGGCUGUGUAUGAAGUUGAUAAGGUCCUUCUCCUUGAAGCAAUCUUUGGCACCGACAUUCCUCCUACCCUAGCUCCAGUACCAGCUCCUAACAUCAGCCCUACUGCUGAUGCUCCAACUGCUUCAGAUGAGGUUGGGUCUCCACGAGCAUCUUCAACCCCAUCUUCUUCCUAUAGGGUAAUCAGCUUAGGUGUUUGGAGCCAGUUGGUUUUGGCCAUUUUAGGUGGGCUGGUCUUGUUCUUAUAAGAGAGGAUUUGUCAAGUCUUUAAUUUAUAUGAAGAGGGUAUAUCCAUUGCUUUGAUUUCAAACCAUUUUUUGAUUACAUAUGUUACUGAAACUAUGAGAAUGUGAGUUUUCUUGUAUUAAUUACUACUUGUAUUUCAAUGACAUUUUGUUUGUGUUAUGGUUUUCA
Molecule: RNA transcript, 2281 nt
Organism: Vitis vinifera (wine grape)
Lineage: Eukaryota; Viridiplantae; Streptophyta; Magnoliopsida; Vitales; Vitaceae
Gene name: fasciclin-like arabinogalactan protein 7
Exons: 4
Source: RefSeq, a predicted model, not a curated record